UGAGGAAUAUUGGUCAAUGGGGGAAACCCUGAACCAGCGACGCCGCGUGUAGGAUGAAGGAGCUUUGCUCUGUAAACUACUGUCGGAUGGGAAAAAAAGAAGCUUUAGGCUUCUGGGAUUGUACCAUCAAAGGAAGGAUCGGCUAACUACGUGCCAGCAGCCGCGGUAAUACGUAGGAUCCAAGCGUUGUCCGGAUUUACUGGGUGUAAAGGGUGCGCAGGCGGACUUGUGCGUCAGAGGUUAAAGACCACGGCUUAACUGUGGAAGUGCCUUUGAUACGGCAAGUCUUGAGUAUGAGAGAGGAUAGUAGAAUUCCUGGUGUAGCGGUGAAAUGCGUAGAUAUCAGGAGGAAUACCCGUGGCGAAGGCGGCUAUCUGGCUCAUUACUGACGCUCAGGCAC
Molecule: ribosomal RNA, 400 nt
Filed under: uncultured bacterium
Lineage: Bacteria
Description: bacterial SSU rRNA
Rfam family: Bacterial small subunit ribosomal RNA
Source: RNAcentral